UCAACCAUGGUAGAAAUACCAGGUAACAACAUAGGCGAAAAUUACAACAAAGCAAAUGUUGUCGGAACUUGAUAUGUCGAAAUUGAAAUUUUGUGAAAAGCAAACAAAAAGUCGAAGACUCGAAAUAAGACAAGAAACCAUGAAACAACCACCAAAAUGAGGAUAAUUUACAAAGGCUGCUGCUCCAAACAAUGAAUUUUGCCGUGGAUUUCUAAAAAUGUAGAUUCAACACAUAAAAUCCUCAAAUUUUAAAGAGAAUUACCGGCUCUUAAAUCGUGGAUAUUUGAAGAACAUUCCGGGUCUCAGAUGUGGCUAUAUCUCGAAAGCAUAUUUGCGGAUCUCAAAUAGUGGAUUUGUUGAUUUAUUUCAGACCUAAACAUUAUUAUUUUUGAAAUGAGACCAAUUGUUUAUCUUGAAGUCCUAAAGGAUAAAAGUCCAAGUUUUAAGAAAAAAAGUUCAGUCGGAGCUUCGACAGAAAUAUAUCCUCAGAAUUUGACCACUUA
Molecule: long non-coding RNA, 503 nt
Organism: Musca domestica (house fly)
Lineage: Eukaryota; Metazoa; Arthropoda; Insecta; Diptera; Muscidae
Exons: 2
Source: RefSeq, a predicted model, not a curated record